Molecule: ribosomal RNA, 253 nt
Filed under: uncultured bacterium
Lineage: Bacteria
Description: partial 16S ribosomal RNA
Rfam family: Bacterial small subunit ribosomal RNA
Source: RNAcentral
GACAGAGGAUGCAAGCUUUAUCCGGAAUGAUUGGGCGUAAAGCGUCUGUAGGUGGCUUUUCAAGUCCGCCGUCAAAUCCCAGGGCUUAACCCUGGACAGGCGGUGGAAACUACCAAGCUGGAGUACGGUAGGGGUAGAGGGAAUUUCCGGUGGAGCGGUGAAAUGCAUUGAGAUCGGAAAGAACACCAACGGCGAAAGCACUCUGCUGGGCCGACACUGACACUGAGAUACGAAAGCUAGGGGAGCAAAUGGG